RNAcentral lists this ribosomal RNA (253 nucleotides) under uncultured prokaryote. RNAcentral's name for it is "partial 16S ribosomal RNA". It matches the Rfam family "Bacterial small subunit ribosomal RNA", at positions 524 to 776 of the family's 1533-position model. The record is from RNAcentral.
UACAGAGGGGGCAAGCGUUGUUCGGAAUUACUGGGCGUAAAGGGCGCGUAGGCGGGAUGGCAAGUCGGUCGUGAAAUCCUCCGGCUCAACCGGAGAACGUCGGCCGAGACUGCCGUUCUUGAGGGAUGCAGAGGAGACUGGAGUUCCCGGUGUAGCGGUGAAAUGUGUAGAGAUCGGGAGGAACACCGGUGGCGAAGGCGGGUCUCUGGGCAUCUCCUGACGCUGAGGCGCGAAAGCGUGGGGAGCAAACGGG